This 325-nucleotide unclassified non-coding RNA is filed under the name uncultured fungus. Its description in RNAcentral is "partial contains small subunit ribosomal RNA, internal transcribed spacer 1, and 5.8S ribosomal RNA". The stretch from base 1 to 73 matches the Rfam family "Eukaryotic small subunit ribosomal RNA", at positions 1759 to 1831 of the family's 1831-position model. Lineage: Eukaryota; Fungi. The record is from RNAcentral.
CCAAACUUGGUCAUUUAGAGGAAGUAAAAGUCGUAACAAGGUCUCCGUUGGUGAACCAGCGGAGGGAUCAUUACUGAGUUGCAAAACUCCAAACCCAUGUGAAUUUACCGUGUUGCCUCGGCGGUAACUGCACUCUAGAUUGGUACCUACCCUAGAGCUACCCGGGAGAGACCUACCCGGUACCUACCCUGUAGCGCUUGCAUGCCGCCGAAGGAAUACCCCUAAACACUUGCUUUUGUAUAGUAUAAUCUGAGUUUAUAUAUCUAAAUAAGUUAAAACUUUCAACAACGGAUCUCUUGGUUCUGGCAUCGAUGAAGAACGCAGC